This 4323-nucleotide long non-coding RNA is filed under the name Sus scrofa (pig). RNAcentral's name for it is "lncRNA (ENSSSCG00035054974.1)". Lineage: Eukaryota; Metazoa; Chordata; Mammalia; Artiodactyla; Suidae. The record is from RNAcentral.
GAGAAGGCCCAAGAAGGACUUGUAAGGAGAGAGGCAGAAGGGUUCUCGAGACAGAGAGGAGGAAAUGUUAACGAAAGAGGAGACUCCAAGAUGCCACACUAUCACAUGAUUAAUUCCUGGGAAAGGAGAGUGUCAAGAAGAAUGGAGUCUAUAGACCCAGGAAUGAGAAAAGGCCGUGGUGGGAUGGCUACUGUAAAGUCAUUGGCGACCUUUAAGAAAAUCAUUCCAGCCAAGAAUAUUAAGUAUCAGAAUGGAUUGCAGCGGGCAUGUCAGGGUGAUGAAGUCACGGAGAGUUUGCACAGCCUGUGUCCUAAGAGAAGAUCUCAAACUGAUGAGAUAACAUCGAGAAAGUAGAUUGAAGGGUGACUUUGGUGAAGUCAAGUUUUCUCUCCCCACCCCGCCCAAUAUCACAAUUUUACAAGGACGUAAUGGAGACACAAUGUCUACCAGAAGAAUUUCAGACAUCGGAGCAGGCUGGUGAGCGAGGUUCUUUUUGACAGUGUGGUUUUUCAGCAUUCUUUGUGUUCCCUGACACAGAGGGCCUCUCAGGGCUGGGCCAUCUGUGUUUAUACUGCGAUCCUUUUGAUUGCUUGUUUACUUAUGCAUCAGAUCCACCUGAUGAGCUUGUUAAAAUGAAGAUUCCAGGGCCCUCCUUUAGAAACUCUGUCUCAAUAGGUCUAGGGUGGGGUCCUGGAAUAGGCACAUAAAAAUGUUUAGUUGGUUUUUGAACAGACAAUCCAUUCACAUGGUUCAAUCGGUUCGAAAGGGUAGAGGACAAAAAGCUGCUUUCCCACACGUGUUCCUCUGCCCCUCAGUUCCUCUGUUCCAAAGCACCCGAUUUUAUCAGAUCCCCUGUCCCCUUCCAGGAAUAUCAAAACCACAUUUGCCUUUAAAGGGGGGAGACUCGAACUUAAACAUAACCGUAGGGUAGGAGCUGUGAGCUGGAGGACAGAAUAACAGGUGUAGGAGGGAAGGAAAUCGGGGGAGGCUUGGACUUGGAGACGCGAUUGCUGGUUGGUGUGAGCAGUAAGUCACCUCCCGUCUUUAGACUUCUCGUUUUCAAAACGCACAUUGCCAGGGGGUAGACCUUGAAGUGACUGUUCUUCAUGUACUGGUUCUGUCUACAUCAGCAUCAAUGAUCCAGACCUUGAGUGUGCGUGUGGGACCGAGGGCCAGUGCGUGUGUUUCUUCUUGCUUGUGGGCUUUCUGGUUUUUAUUUAUGUCACUUUCAUUGGACUACAAAGCUGUGUAAAAACUUGCCCCUCUGGUUCUCCGUAAAGAUGGACUCUCUGCAUUUUUUGUGGUUGUCUCUGGAUAUCAGGUCAUAUGCUCUCUGUCCUCACAAGAUAUAAUUCUGGAUUCACAAGUUAUAACUUCACAGCACCAAAAACAUUUCAGUAGAUAAAGACAGCACAUGCUUCGGAAUUCCCCUCAGUUCUGUCGUGUUCUAUUUAUCUGCUCCGCCUUCUGCAUUUUAAACAACCCUCUGUCAGUGUUGUGGGUGUUCAACUUUCAAUAUCAUCUAAGGGUAAAUAAAUGGCCCUCUCGCUAAUAAGAUUCUCCAGUCCUCAGCAUGUUUUUGGUAAAAGAUUUUUAUAAGUAUACAAUGACAAUAAAAAGGGAAGAGUCUGGGCAAUUUAGAGUGGUUCCACUUUGGGCAAUCCAGUUGCAUCUCUUACAGCCAUUUCUUAUUUUUUAACAUUAUUUUAAAAAGAAGAGUAAUUUUGGAAAGUCUAAUUCAAAUAACAAUUUAGAAGGAACAUUUCUCGUGGAUUCUAAUUUAAAGUCUCAUGCAAAAGCCCGGAAUGUAAUUGUCUCAAUUAAAAAAUAUUCCCACUGAGCUGAUACUAUAUCCAUGGUGCCCGGCAAAGCCUAGUGCAGAAUUACAGAAGCACAUUUUGAAAUGAGCUGGGGAUAUGGAUUUAGGCUGAAGAGUGUGCUUUAAGAUCUUAACAGUGACUGGCUAUUUCAGGAGGAAAAAAAAAAAAAGGAAUGAGCUGAGAGAUUAUAAUAACACUAAAUAUGAAGGGAAAAAAAUUUCCCUUCAAAGAUGUCACCCAUAAAAUUAUAUUGACGAUAAUUCAUUUGUGGACACUGUGGUUAUGGAUGUGGGUUUUUCUCCCCACAAUAUUAGGUUAAUUGGUAUUUCAAACUCUGUUAAUGCCCUUGGGGUAGUCAGUUGAAGAAAGUAGAAGGACAUCGUUUCACUUAAUUGGAGGGACUCUUAUUAAAGACGGAGCGAUUCUUCCUAGCAUUAGAAAAUGAACGAAAUUUUUGUGAGUGUGUCUUUGUAUUCAUUUUGCCUUUGCUAUUUCUACUAAAGUAGCUGUAUAAAAUAAUUCAAGGAGCAAUAGGAAAAGUGGAUGUGCCUUGUUCUAUGACUUUUGGGGUGGUAUUUAUUGGCAUUAUUCACAAAUUGAAAAAAUUGAGAUGAUCACUUGAUGGUACUUUUUGAAGCAUGUUCAAAAUUUUCCAGCAUUAGUUAAAGAAGGAAUAUAGCACCAUUAUAUUUUAUUUGCUACAAAUAACAAAUGAAUAAAUAUUGUAGAUUAUUUGAGCUCUAAAAUAAUUUUAGAAAAAUUUGAGAAAAUAACUAGUAGUAACAUUUUUCGAGGAAACAUAAAUGCACAUUUGGGCUGGUAUCUAGCUUACGUUAAAAUAUGGGAGACAAAUCUAUAUCAAAAAUAUCUGUAUCUCCAAAGUUUGAUUGUAUAAUUAUCAUUGAAUCUGGUGGGAAGCUAAAACAUUAGCAAGAGUACAGUUACUGUAUAUAUUUAGGUGGUAAGGAAAACAACAAACUUGAUUGGACCCAGUAGGAUCGAACCCACACUGCAGUUGUGGCCUGAGCUACAGGUGCUGCAAAGCGGAAUUUUUAACCCGGUACCCCAUGGGACUUUUCCUGAUAAUAUGUAAACAUGAAAACAGGAAUCUUGAGGUAACUGACCACAUUUCACUCAGAGCUCAGAAAAAUGAAAUCAAGGUCCACAACACUUAGUUAAUAAGGAAACUAAAAAUACAUUAGAUUUUAAUCCCAUAGUAACCGUUAAAAGAACAAUGUGAGUAAUAUAAUCUUAAAUUUUGAUCAGUGAUGGUUUCCAGUAAAAUGCUCCUCUCUCUUUUGGAAGGUGGCAGUUAUAUCCUCCCAGAAGCCAUUGUGGGGGGACAACGUCAGAAGAAUGUAAACGAGAUUCAUUUGUUAGGCGAAGACAUGCUCCCGCUUAUGCGUUUUAAUAGCCGUCCAUGAAACUUAAGAAAUUAGGAGAAACUUACACAUCAAAGUGCUCAUGUAAAAAAUAAUGUCGACUUUUUUUCUUUUAAAAAUAUUUGUGCUGCAAAUUCUUAGAUCCCAUUGUAUUCAAAAGGCCAAAGUCCUGCUACCUGAAAGAGAUGGCAUUUCAGGUCCCGCCAGGACCUCCCAAAGAGUCAUUUUUCCUGCCUUUGUGGCCCUUUUGAUGGCAAAGAUAGUCCUUUUGUACUGAUGCUAAGUCAUCCAGGAGAUUUAUUUCAUCAGUUAAGAAUCAAAAGGAGAAAGGGGAAGGGGAUGCUGGGUAGAAUUCUGAAGUUUGACACUAAAAAAUUACUGCUUAGGUAACUAGACCUAUUUUAACACCACACAGGAUGGCCUGUCUUCGAACUUAUUUCAAAACACAGGGCUUGGGUACCAACGUGGGAGGUGAGAUGAGGGAUCAGCUGAUUCUAGCCUGGUCCAGCCUGGGAGGCUGGGGGCACGGGUGUGGGCUCCAAGCUUCCCUGUGAGAAGGCAGCGUCUCCGCCGCUCCCAGCCCUCUCAGGGGUCCUGGUCGCUUUGAGCUCCUUGCUUGCCCAUGUGGGCUAGACUUUCCCAAUUGCUCCUUGUUUUUCUAACUACAGGCAUCUGCUCAGAGCUGAGUAAAUGGAGAACAAACUGCUAGAAAAGGAAACGCACCCAGGACCCUAAACACCGCCCUCCUCCAUGACUGUUCUGAAACCAUCAGGCAAAACUUUAUGGUAGGAUCACGUACAGAUUUGGAUACCAGGAUGAUACCUUAAAGAUAAUUUAAUCUCAACGCUUUCCUUGUCAGUGAAACAGAAUUUUAUUGUUAUAAACACUGGUCUAAAGAAUCAGUAUAGUGAGUUCCCGUUGUGGUCAGUGGGUUAAGAACCCCACAUAGUGUCCAUGAGCAUGCACUGGAUCCCUGGCCUCGCUCAGUGGGUUAAGGAUCCUGUGUUGCUGCAAGCUAUGGUGUAAGUCACAGAUGCAGCUCGGAUGUGGCGUUGCUGUGUCUGUGGGAUAGACUGGCAGCUGCAGCUCCAAUUCGACCCCUAGCCCGGGGAACUUCCAUA